This 462-nucleotide ribosomal RNA is filed under the name uncultured bacterium. Its description in RNAcentral is "partial 16S ribosomal RNA". It matches the Rfam family "Bacterial small subunit ribosomal RNA", at positions 28 to 507 of the family's 1533-position model. The record is from RNAcentral.
GACGAACGCUGGCGGCGUGCUUAACACAUGCAAGUCGAGCGGAAAGGCCCUUCGGGGUACUCGAGCGGCGAACGGGUGAGUAACACGUGAGUAACCUGCCCCAGACUUUGGGAUAACCCUCGGAAACGGGGGCUAAUACCGGAUACGACACAGCUUCGCAUGGGGUCUGUGUGGAAAGUUUUUCGGUUUGGGAUGGGCUCGCGGCCUAUCAGCUUGUUGGUGGGGUGAUGGCCUACCAAGGCGACGACGGGUAGCCGGCCUGAGAGGGCGACCGGCUACACUGGGACUGAGACACGGCCCAGACUCCUACGGGAGGCAGCAGUGGGGAAUAUUGCACAAUGGGCGGAAGCCUGAUGCAGCGACGCCGCGUGAGGGAUGACGGCCUUCGGGUUGUAAACCUCUUUCAGCAGGGACGAAGCGUAAGUGACGGUACCUGCAGAAGAAGCGCCGGCCAACUACGUG